UUUUUGUAGGUGAACCUACGGAAGGAUCAUUGUCGAUGCCUAAAACAUCAAACGACCCGCGAACGCGUUUCAUGAAACAUCCGCACUGGAGGGGGGAUUGGAGCGUUCUCACCCCGCCCCCUUCCGGUGCGAACCUCAACCAAACCUCGGCAUAGGUCGCGCCAAGGAACUCCAACGAAUGAGCAUGCCCCCAAUCCUAUCUCAGUGUGCGGAGGGCAGAACAUUCUUGUCGUAUGUAUUACGCACAACGACUCUCGGCAACAGAUAUCUCGGCUCUAGCAUCAAUGAAGAACGUAGAGAAAUGCGAUACUUGGUGUGAAUUGCAGGAUCUCGCAAACCAUCAAGUUUUUGAACACUAGUUGCGCCUGGAGCUAUCUGGCUGAGGGCAUGUCUGCAUGGGCGUCACGCACCGUUGCCCCCCUCUAGCAACCCCGCACCAUGCGUGCGUCAGUUCGUUGCUACAGUCAGGGACACACGCUGGUCUCCCUUGCGCACCGUCACACGGAUGGCUUGAAUUCAAGUCGUUGGUGCCUGUCGCCGCGACGCUACGGUGGUUGAUCAAACAUCGGUACCGCAUACCGGCUGCAGCCCGUGCACGUCUUCCUCCUAGUGAAUGAGCAAGGGAAACAACGAGGCCUUCUUAGACCGACCCUGCGAACGUCGUCCCCUAGAAAGACAGCGCUCUAGACGCGACCCCAGGUCAGGCGAGAGUACCCGCUGAGUUUAA
Molecule: ribosomal RNA, 727 nt
Filed under: Momordica cochinchinensis (spiny bitter cucumber)
Lineage: Eukaryota; Viridiplantae; Streptophyta; Magnoliopsida; Cucurbitales; Cucurbitaceae
Description: eukaryotic LSU rRNA
Rfam family: 5.8S ribosomal RNA (bases 250-405)
Source: RNAcentral